GACGAACGCUGGCGGCGUGCUUAACACAUGCAAGUCGAGCGGUAAGGCCCUUCGGGGUACCCGAGCGGCGAAGCGGGGAGUAACACGGGGGUGACUUGCCCUCCACCUUGGGAUAAGCCUGGGAAAACGGGGCUAAUCCCGGGUAUGAACUCCGCAUGCCUGUCCGGUGGUGGCAAGUUCUCGCGGUGGGGGAUGGGCGCGCGGUAGAUCAGGUCGGGGGUGGGGUGUUGGCGUACCAAGGCGACGACGGAUAGCAGGCCGGAGAGGGUGAUCGGCGACACUGGGACCGAGACACGGCCCAGACGCAUGCGGCAGGCGGCAGUGGGGAAGCAUGCGCAAUGGGCGGAUGCCUGACGCCGCAACGGCGCGUGGGGGAUGACGGCCUUCGGGGUGUAAACCUCUGUCGCGAUCGACGAAGCUCGUACUUCUGGUAGGUGUGACGGUAGGUAGAGAAGAAGCACCGGCCAACUACGUG
This 475-nucleotide ribosomal RNA is filed under the name uncultured bacterium. RNAcentral's name for it is "partial 16S ribosomal RNA". It matches the Rfam family "Bacterial small subunit ribosomal RNA", at positions 28 to 507 of the family's 1533-position model. The record is from RNAcentral.